GGGUUGUGAGGUUAAGCGACUAAGCGUACACGGUGGAUGCCCUGGCAGUCAGAGGCGAUGAAGGGCGUGCUAAUCUGCGAUAAGCGCCGGUAAGGUGAUAUGAACCGUUAUAACCGGCGAUACCCGAAUGGGGAAACCCAGUGUGACUCGUCACACUAUCAUUAACUGAAUCCAUAGGUUAAUGAGGCGAACCGGGGGAACUGAAACAUCUAAGUACCCCGAGGAAAAGAAAUCAACCGAGAUUCCCCCAGUAGCGGCGAGCGAACGGGGAGGAGCCCAGAGCCUGAAUCAGCAUGUGUGUUAGUGGAAGCGUCUGGAAAGGCGCGCGAUACAGGGUGACAGCCCCGUACACAAAAGCGCAUGUGCUGUGAGCUCGAUGAGUAGGGCGGGACACGUGGUAUCCUGUCUGAAUAUGGGGGGACCAUCCUCCAAGGCUAAAUACUCCUGACUGACCGAUAGUGAACCAGUACCGUGAGGGAAAGGCGAAAAGAACCCCGGCGAGGGGAGUGAAAAAGAACCUGAAACCGUGUACGUACAAGCAGUGGGAGCCCCACCACCAAAGCAUUCUCUGGUGUUGAAGGCCCUGCAAAGCAGCAUCGCGGUGGCGGAGCGUCGUUUGCGACGCCCAACACACAAAACAAGCGGUGAAUGCUUUGGGGUGGGGUGACUGCGUACCUUUUGUAUAAUGGGUCAGCGACUUAUAUUCUGUAGCAAGGUUAACCGAAUAGGGGAGCCGGAGGGAAACCGAGUCUUAAUUGGGCGUUAAGUUGCAGGGUAUAGACCCGAAACCCGGUGAUCUAGCCAUGGGCAGGUUGAAGGUUGGGUAACACUAACUGGAGGACCGAACCGACUAAUGUUGAAAAAUUAGCGGAUGACCUGUGGCUGGGGUGAAAGGCCAAUCAAACCGGGAGAUAGCUGGUUCUCCCCGAAAGCUAUUUAGGUAGCGCCUCGUGAAUUCAUCUCCGGGGGUAGAGCACUGUUUCGGCUAGGGGGCCAUCCCGGCUUACCAACCCGAUGCAAACUGCGAAUACCGGAGAAUGUUAUCACGGGAGACACACGGCGGGUGCUAACGUCCGUCGUGAAGAGGGAAACAACCCAGACCGCCAGCUAAGGUCCCAAAGUCAUGGUUAAGUGGGAAACGAUGUGGGAAGGCCCAGACAGCCAGGAUGUUGGCUUAGAAGCAGCCAUCAUUUAAAGAAAGCGUAAUAGCUCACUGGUCGAGUCGGCCUGCGCGGAAGAUGUAACGGGGCUAAACCAUGCACCGAAGCUGCGGCAGCGACGCUGAUGCGUUGUUGGGUAGGGGAGCGUUCUGUAAGCCUGUGAAGGUGUGUCGUGAGGCAUGCUGGAGGUAUCAGAAGUGCGAAUGCUGACAUAAGUAACGAUAAAGCGGGUGAAAAGCCCGCUCGCCGGAAGACCAAGGGUUCCUGUCCAACGUUAAUCGGGGCAGGGUGAGUCGACCCCUAAGGCGAGGCCGAAAGGCGUAGUCGAUGGGAAACGGGUUAAUAUUCCCGUACUUGGUGUUACUGCGAAGGGGACGGAGAAGGCUAUGUUGGCCGGGCGACGGUUGUCCCGGUUUAAGCGUGUAGGUGUGUGUUCCGUAAAUCCGGUUCACUUUAACACUGAGGCGUGACGACGAGGCACUACGGUGCUGAAGCAACAAAUGCCCUGCUUCCGUGAAAAGCCUCUAAGCAUCAGGUAACACGAAAUCGUACCCCAAACCGACACAGGUGGUCAGGUAGAGAAUACCAAGGCGCUUGAGAGAACUCGGGUGAAGGAACUAGGCAAAAUGGUGCCGUAACUUCGGGAGAAGGCACGCUGACACGUAGGUGAAGUGAUUUACUCAUGGAGCUGAAGUCAGUCGAAGAUACCAGCUGGCUGCAACUGUUUAUUAAAACACAGCACUGUGCAAACACGAAAGUGGACGUAUACGGUGUGACGCCUGCCCGGUGCCGGAAGGUUAAUUGAUGGGGUCAGCGCAAGCGAAGCUCCUGAUCGAAGCCCCGGUAAACGGCGGCCGUAACUAUAACGGUCCUAAGGUAGCGAAAUUCCUUGUCGGGUAAGUUCCGACCUGCACGAAUGGCGUAAUGAUGGCGAGGCUGUCUCCACCCGAGACUCAGUGAAAUUGAACUCGCUGUGAAGAUGCAGUGUACCCGCGGCAAGACGGAAAGACCCCGUGAACCUUUACUAUAGCUUGACACUGAACAUUGAGCCUUGAUGUGUAGGAUAGGUGGGAGGCUUUGAAGUGUGGACGCCAGUCUGCAUGGAGCCGACCUUGAAAUACCACCCUUUAAUGUUUGAUGUUCUAACGUGGACCCGUAAUCCGGGUUGCGGACAGUGUCUGGUGGGUAGUUUGACUGGGGCGGUCUCCUCCUAAAGAGUAACGGAGGAGCACGAAGGUUGGCUAAUCUGGUCGGACAUCAGGAGGUUAGUGCAAUGGCAUAAGCCAGCUUGACUGCGAGCGUGACGGCGCGAGCAGGUGCGAAAGCAGGUCAUAGUGAUCCGGUGGUUCUGAAUGGAAGGGCCAUCGCUCAACGGAUAAAAGGUACUCCGGGGAUAACAGGCUGAUACCGCCCAAGAGUUCAUAUCGACGGCGGUGUUUGGCACCUCGAUGUCGGCUCAUCACAUCCCGGGCUGAAGUAGGUCCCAAGGGUAUGGCUGUUCGCCAUUUAAAGUGGUACGCGAGCUGGGUUUAGAACGUCGUGAGACAGUUCGGUCCCUAUCUGCCGUGGGCGCUGGAGAACUGAGGGGGGCUGCUCCUAGUACGAGAGGACCGGAGUGGACGCAUCACUGGUGUUCGGGUUGUCAUGCCAAUGGCACUGCCCGGUAGCUAAAUGCGGAAGAGAUAAGUGCUGAAAGCAUCUAAGCACGAAACUUGCCCCGAGAUGAGUUCUCCCUGAGACUUUAGGUCUCCUGAAGGAACGUUGAAGACGACGACGUUGAUAGGCCGGGUGUGUAAGCGCAGCGAUGCGUUGAGCUAACCGGUACUAAUGAACCGUGAGGCUUAACCUUACAACGCCGAAG
This 3021-nucleotide ribosomal RNA is filed under the name Salmonella enterica. RNAcentral's name for it is "23S ribosomal RNA". It matches the Rfam family "Bacterial large subunit ribosomal RNA". The record is from RNAcentral. Lineage: Bacteria; Pseudomonadati; Pseudomonadota; Gammaproteobacteria; Enterobacterales; Enterobacteriaceae.